Molecule: long non-coding RNA, 2306 nt
Organism: Mus musculus (house mouse)
Lineage: Eukaryota; Metazoa; Chordata; Mammalia; Rodentia; Muridae
Product: predicted gene, 54232
Exons: 2
Source: RefSeq, a predicted model, not a curated record
CCAAAAGAUAAACUUAAUUGUUUUUGGUUUUGUUUUUCUAUGUUCAUGGUUGUGCAAUGUGGGACUUCAUUUAGCUGCUCUGCCAUUCUUACAGGAAUCUGAGUAAGCUGCACCUGAGUUAACUAUCUUUAUCAUUGCUCUAUGAAAUACCUGACUAAAGUUGCUAAGGGAAUGGAAGAAACAUUUGUUUUGGUUUACAUAUUCAAGUGGCUGAAAUCCAUCAUGUCAGCGACAGCCUGGUAGAGCGACACCUAAGUCAGGUUGCUUCUGUAGUCAGGGAACAGACAGAUGGAUGCUGGCAGUCAGAUAGCUUUCUCCUCUCUGUUCAGUCUAGAACCAAGCCCAUGAUGGUACUGCCUAAGGUAGGGUGUGUCUUCCCUAAUCUAGAACCCCUUUUACAGAUGAGCCCAGGGGCCUGUCUCCUAGGUGAUCUUAGAUCCUGCCAAGUUGACAAUCAGUAUUAGCCAUGCCAGGUUAUGUAUAAGAUUGGUGACCCUCAGAGCCCAUUUUCUGACCUCUUUCACUCAAUAGUAGAAGCUAUUCUAUGUGAGUGGUACCACCCUGAUAAAGAAUACAUCCACACAGAUAGAAUAGGUCAAAGAGAAGCUUGGUGAGAAGGAAAGCUGAUGCAACCGAGGUCCACAGUGAGUGUUUCAGAGAAAGCAAGUUCCCAUUUCUUUGAUUAUGAGGAGUCUGAUGUAAUCAGCCAGCUACCACAGGAUGUCUGCUCCUGCUGGGCACGCGGCCAUGGUGACUUUCAGGCUUGGUCACUGCAGUGAGGAAGCUGGAGACUCAGGCAGAUAAGGAUGUGUUCAUGUUGCUUAGCUGUGCAUGGCUUCUCUGCCCCUCUCCAUGGCCCUUUAUGAACACACUGAACAAGUACUGGGAUGCUGGAGACAGUGGCUCAGUGAUAGAGAAUAGACCUUCAUGUCUACUGUAGUGAGAAGAGCCUUUCCACCAUCAGAGACUUUGAGUGAUCAUUAACACCACUCUCAGGGAUCAAUCCACAGUCUUCAACAAAUGUUGUCACCAAAUAUUAACUAUUUUUCUUUAAUAGUUCCUUACCACAUGGCCAAGCAAUUACCCAUUGUCUGUCUGUAUAACCUAAUCACACUUUCUGUUUUGCUAUAGUGUAAGUGUGAAAACUGGUAAUUAUAUCUGCUAUUCACUGUUGGUGAUCCAUUGGAUCAAGGCGUCAGGCUCGAGAAGAAGAAUGGAUUCUGCUGACUCAGUCCAUUGGAGACUAAUGGAGCCCUGCCUAAAGCUGUUAUCACCUGGGGCAAGACAUGACAAGACGACCAAAUUUGGCUAUCAAACAUCUGCCAUGGCUAGAACUGUCCCCAAGACUAGUGGGUAGCCACCUCUGAUCUUCACACAGGCAAAGUCUCCUGUAUCAUCCAAGCACUUCCUAGACGUGUCGUGUUCUUGUGACUUAUUAAUAAUUGGCUGCAACCUUUCCAAUUUUCCCCUCUAAUAGGUUCGCAGUGUUUGUUCCUUAUCUCGUUAUGAGCCCGGUUCUCCCAGGUUUUACAUUACUCGUCUGAGGCCCUCAGGUAAAUUGGAGGAUCACCCGCGUGACGUGAUACUGAUGAGGGAUACUUUUGAGGCAAAUGCCAACCCUGACGGGACCAGAAUGUAUCCAUGUAUCCUGGAAACGUGGUUUAGCUGUCACCAGCCACCUAAUGUGACCACACCAUGCCUGGCUUUCCCUCCGGCACUGAGGAAAAUAUCCCAUGAACAGUGAACAAAUGUUCCCAUGAAGGAGUCACGUGGAGCUGACUCUUACUGAUCUUCUCACUGAGUGGCACCACAUUGGUACAGACAUCUCUUCAGCCUUCCACUUCCUCAGAGGCCACACUCCCUAGCCAUAAGCAUGGUGCAGACUUUAACUGUCAGAAAAUAGUCCAGGCUUCUUCUCCUCCCGGAACUGGUUACACACGCAUAUGCAUCAUUUCUCUUUAGGCACUUAUUCCUGGAGGGAAAAAACACUUAGAAACUUUGACUUAAGUUGUCUAUUUGCAGGUUAUACUGAAAAAAAGGAUGCUGGAUGUGCAGCACGUGUCUCUAGUCCCAGCACUCAGGAGGCAGAGGCAGAAGGAUUUCUAUGAGCUCGAAGCCAGCCUGGUCUUCAAAGGGAGUUCCAGGACAGCUAGGACAACAUAGAGAAACCUAGUCUUGGAAGAAAAACCAAACCAAACAAAAACAAAAAACAAAAAAAACCAAAAAACACCCCCGCCUUUUAAAAUCGUUUAUAUAACAAACAUGAGCUCUGUGCUGUAAAUUUAAUAAAAUUAAUCAAACCAAAA